GGGUACAGGGAAUUAGGGUUCGAUUCUGGAGAAGGAGCCUGAGAAACGGCUACUACAUCUACGGAAGGCAGCAGGCGCGUAAAUUACCCAAUCCUGACUCAGGGAGGUGGUGACAAGAUAUAACAACGAGAUCAUAAAUCUCAUUUGUAGGGGGGGUUUCCUAAAUAAACCCUAUAGUACAAUUUGGGGGCAAAUA
Molecule: ribosomal RNA, 196 nt
Filed under: uncultured rumen protozoa
Lineage: Eukaryota
Description: partial 18S ribosomal RNA
Rfam family: Eukaryotic small subunit ribosomal RNA
Source: RNAcentral